This 117-nucleotide small nucleolar RNA is filed under the name Brassica oleracea var. oleracea. RNAcentral's name for it is "Plant small nucleolar RNA R71". It matches the Rfam family "Plant small nucleolar RNA R71". Rfam says of the family: R71 is a member of the C/D box family of snoRNAs containing the C (UGAUGA) and D (CUGA) box motifs. Lineage: Eukaryota; Viridiplantae; Streptophyta; Magnoliopsida; Brassicales; Brassicaceae. The record is from Rfam by way of RNAcentral.
AAACCAUGAUGAGGGCAUUGAGACCAAUAGCCCUUGAACCUCUCCCAUGCUUCACUGAAACUCUCUAGACCUUUCUGUUCCUUUCUGUUGAAACCCGGAGAUUUCGUUCCUGAUCUU